GCAACAUACCUUCAAGCGGGGGAUAUGCCAGGGAAACUUGGUGCAACACCCCAUAGCAUUUCGGGACCGCAUGGUCUUGGGAUUAAUAUUUAUAGCUUGGAGAUUGGCAUGCGUGACAUUAGCUAGUUGGCGGGGUAACGGCCCACCAAGGCGACGAUGUCUAGCUGGUCUGAGAGGAUGAUCAGCCACACUGGGACUGAGACACGGCCCAGACUCCUACGGGAGGCAGCAGUAGGGAAUAUUGGACAAUGGGGGGAACCCUGAUCCAGCCAUGCCGCGUGAGGGAAGAAGGUCCUCUGGAUUGUAAACCUCUUUUGGCGGGGGACAAACCUGCACUAUACGUGCAGCUGAGGGUACCCGCAGAAUAAGCACCGGCUAACUCCGUG
This 386-nucleotide ribosomal RNA is filed under the name uncultured bacterium. RNAcentral's name for it is "bacterial SSU rRNA". It matches the Rfam family "Bacterial small subunit ribosomal RNA", at positions 121 to 507 of the family's 1533-position model. The record is from RNAcentral.